AACGUAGGAGACGAACGUUAUCCGGAGUUACUGGGCGUAAAGGGCGUGUAGGCGGUAUGUUAAGUCUGGCGUGAAAGCUCUCGGCUAAACCGGGAGAGGUCGUUGGAUACUGGCAAACUAGAGGAUGGUAGAGGCGUGUGGAAUUCCGGGUGUAGUGGUGAAAUGCGUAGAGAUCCGGAGGAACACCAGUGGCGAAGGCGACACGCUGGGCCAUACCUGACGCUAAAGCGCGACAGCAUGGGGAGCAAACGGG
This 253-nucleotide ribosomal RNA is filed under the name uncultured bacterium. RNAcentral describes it as "partial 16S ribosomal RNA". It matches the Rfam family "Bacterial small subunit ribosomal RNA", at positions 524 to 776 of the family's 1533-position model. The record is from RNAcentral.